Bos taurus (domestic cattle) is the source of this 1992-nucleotide long non-coding RNA. Lineage: Eukaryota; Metazoa; Chordata; Mammalia; Artiodactyla; Bovidae. The record is from Ensembl.
AUAUAAGAAAAAGUCCAAAAUUUUUAAAGAGGGAAAGUGGCAAUUAGGGUGAACAUGUCAUGACGUUUCUAACUGUAAAGUAAUGUAAAACACAAGGGUGAUGUAAACAAGCAAACAUAAGGGCGCAUUACCCUGUGUGUGAGCAUCAGAGGCUCACUGUGCCGUUCGGAGAAGGCAAGGACGCCCCACUCCAGCACUCUUGCCUGGAAAAUCCCGUGGAUGGAGGAGCCUGGUGGGCUGCAGUCCAUGGGGUCGCUCAGAGUCGGACACGACUGAGUGACUUCACUUUCACGCAUUGGAGAAGGAAAUGGCAACCCACUCCAGUGCUCUUGCCUGGAAAAUCCCAGGGACGGGGAGCCUGGUGGGCUGCCGUCUCUGGGGUCGCACAGAGUCGGACACGACUGAAGCGACUCAGCAGCAGCAGCAGCAGCCGCAGCAGCAUUGUACCAUUCUCUUGUUUCUCUGUUUGAAUAUGUUCAUAAUCAAAAAUUACGAGAAAUAUACUUUCUGGGGCUUUGUGACCUCGAGUAAAUAGUUUGACCUGCCUGGGUGUUCAAAGUCUUUAUCAGUGACAUAGGUCUAGUGUAUCUCAGAGGGCUGUAAGGCUUACAUGAGGUACUCUAUGAAAAGCAGUUCUAAAACGGCAGAGCUCACAGGCCACCUCAUGCUCUCACUGACCAUGUCUGUGUGAAUGUUUCUUUGCUGAGGGCUUGCCCUGUGCCAGGCUUUGUGACACAUGUUGGGACUCUGAUGACAGAUGGCCGCUGCCGUCCAUGGCUUUAGUUUUCUAGAGGUUUACAUCACUGCUGAAAAUUUCACUAUUUGGUUUACACUGUUCAUUCUCUUCUGGGGAGGUGUCAGCGGGAAGACAGAUGGGGAAGCACCUCCUUAAAACGAAAGCAGCAGCUAAAGUUUCGCACUGUCUUCUUGGGCAGACUCUCUAAGUUUGUUUUGUCUUCAUGGCACAACAGAGUUCUCUUCCCACCUGUCUUCCUACAACGGUAUCACCUCGGUAUUGUCUCCGUCUUAAAUGGAGGCUGAAUUUUAACAUCGGUGUAUCUAGAACACACUUUUCAACUCUCCAGGAGAAAAUCCAUCUGUAAGGUAUUUAUCCUGGCAUCUGAAUUCCAUCUCUGCUUUGUAGGUCUGGCCUAGGGCAAGUCAUCUAAGUUAUACUUUCUGCGCCUGCAAAACGAAGGUAUACCUACGUGGUAUAAUUGCACUGGCAAUUAGAGAUAAUUUUUGUAAAGUCUGGUGUGCUGCUCUAUAAAAAGGAGGUUUUAUUGUUCAGGUCACUGUAAUUAGUGGAUAAACUGUCUACAUGCUAAAUUAACAUCUCUAAGGAAAGUGAGGGUGGAGCUGAACGGGACAGGUGCGUUAGGGGGUCCCUGUUAAUCUUAGUCUCUAUACAAUUAAUGAUAGCCUUGAAGAUACUGCUCUAAUUUGACGCUUUCUGAAACAUGUUUCAGCUGAAUUGUGUGUUCAUCUUCAAGCCAUCGUGAGCUCUGAGCAGCCCUCACAGAAGGACUCAGCUGAAAAGUGUAAGAGCUGUACUGAGCACUGCUUUCCUAAGUGCUCCUUGAAUUUUUCAACAAGAAGACUGAGAAUUUUUUGGUGCAAAUCAUCACUAUGCUUGAAAAAAAGUAAAAAUUUUGAAGUUGAAAAUUAUAACCAAGACCCGAAGUAACAAACACUCAGAUUUAAGUAUCUCUGUUUUUGAUGCACUUGGGGAAAAGUUGCUUCUUUCCUUAUAUUUCUCUGAAAACACUGCACCAGUGUAGCAGUGUUAAGAACUUAUCUAACUGAUAAGAUAUUUCUGGCUUAUAUGUUGGAUCCCAACUCAGAUUCUGAUUUAAUUAUAUUCCCUGGCCUUUUCAUAUUCAUUCUGCGUUUCCAUGAAAAACUUUGUGAAUGGUAUGCAGCAAAGAGAAAUAUAAAAGACUAUUGUUGCAUUCAUAAUUUUAAAGUAUUUAACAUUUCUGUUUACCUCAG